Molecule: long non-coding RNA, 645 nt
Organism: Callorhinchus milii (elephant shark)
Lineage: Eukaryota; Metazoa; Chordata; Chondrichthyes; Chimaeriformes; Callorhinchidae
Exons: 2
Source: RefSeq, a predicted model, not a curated record
AUUGGAACUCGUCUUUGGUGAACUUUGGUCCAUUUCAACAGCAAACAUUUCUUUGGUCAAUAUCCUGGGCGUUACUCACAAUCCUGGCUCCAGACGUGAAGCCAUGUGAAUCAGAUUGAAAUGAACUCUGUCACAGGGCGGGACACACACAGCACAGAUACACUGAGACUGAAGCAGUUUGGAACAGAAAGACUCCGGGUGAUGAGAGCGUCUGGACAUCACGUCCAGCGUCUGAAAGAGGAGCUAAACUGCGCCAUUUGUCUGGAAUUCUUUAAGGAUCCUGUUUGCCUCGAUUGUGGCCACAUAUUUUGUCGCUACUGUAUCACCCGGAGCUGGGAAAAGCAGGGGAAACCUGCUGUGCGGAAUAUUGCCAAGUUAUUGCUCAGAAGAACCCCACGAUAAAUCGGUCCUUGGCCAAAAUGGUGGACAAAGCUCGAGAAUUCAGUCUGAACGCGACACAGACAGCGGUUAAACGUCAGUGUGAGAAACACCCGGAGGAACUGAAGCUGUUCUGUGAAACUGACAAGAAAUUGAUCUGUUCCAUUUGCGGAGAUGUGAAAAAACACCGAGGUCACAGCUUCCUGCCCAUUGACGAAGCUGCUGAAAUCUACAAGGAUCAAGUGAAAUCCUCCUUAGCUUCUCUCA